This 627-nucleotide ribosomal RNA is filed under the name Triticum aestivum (bread wheat). RNAcentral's name for it is "partial small subunit ribosomal RNA". Lineage: Eukaryota; Viridiplantae; Streptophyta; Magnoliopsida; Poales; Poaceae. The record is from RNAcentral.
AUGCACCAACAAUCCAGACGAAGGCAUAUUUCCAACAACAAGAUGAUCCGCAAGAUGAGGAGGAGGCUCGGCGGCAUGCUUUCUCGGAAUAUCGGCGUUGAUGUCGAGUAUACCAGGGAAGACAAACCUCCGCAAAUUGCUGCAGUUCUGCAGUUAUGCGUGGAGGAUCUCGUCCUGGUAUACCACAUCACCGCGACAACCAAAUGGCCCAAGGAACUCCGCCCGCUCCUGCAGGAGAAGAAGUUGUACACCUUUGUUGGCUUCUGCAUUGGAGGCGACAAGGAGAAGCUGAAGUUGUCUGGUUUGGAGAUCAACCCCGACAAGUACGUCGACUUGCAGCGCAAAUGGAGAGUUCCAAACAAUGGAAAGAAGUGGCAGUCUUUGGCUGAGUUUGCAGCCAGCCUCAUUCACCCAUCCUACUCAAAAAUGAAGCAGAAGAUCGACAGGAAUUCGGACCACCUACUAUGGGGGGACAUCCGACUACCAAACAAGCUCAUCGAGUACGCCGUGAAAGAUGCGUACGUCACCUACGAGGCAUGGAAGAAAAUCGAAAUCACCAAAGAAGGUUUCGAGCUCUGGCAAGAGGCGGAGGAUCAUUGGGAUGACCCCUACUACUGGGGAUAUUGA